UACGAAGGGGGCUAGCGUUGUUCGGAAUUACUGGGCGUAAAGGGCGCGUAGGCGGUACUUCAAGUCAGGCGUGAAAGCCCCGGGCUCAACCUGGGAACCGCGCUUGAGACUGGAGAACUAGAGUUCGGGAGAGGAUGGUGGAAUUCCCAGUGUAGAGGUGAAAUUCGUAGAUAUUGGGAAGAACACCGAUGGCGAAGGCAGAUCUCUGGGCCAUUACUGACGCUGAGGAGCGAAAGCGUGGGGAGCGAACAGG
This 253-nucleotide ribosomal RNA is filed under the name uncultured bacterium. Its description in RNAcentral is "partial 16S ribosomal RNA". It matches the Rfam family "Bacterial small subunit ribosomal RNA", at positions 524 to 776 of the family's 1533-position model. The record is from RNAcentral.